CAUCUCUGAAAGGUGAGAAAGAAGUGCUUUAGUUCUCCACAUAGAGAGAAAUAAGUUCCCAAACUCUAGGCUAAGCAAUGGCUAGUUAUGGCUACCCCUCUAAAGCCUACCCUGCUUACAAUGAUUUAACACCAUGGGUAAAUUAUGGGGACAAAAUCAGAUAUGCCCCCGAUCAUGUUUGCAAGCCAGUCGUUGUUGAUGCUGAUGGGAGGAAACAUCCGGUCGUUUCUUACACUCCCAGCAAUAGCGCAGAAACCCGUGUUAUAGAAACUCAAACCAUUGUGAUGCAGGAGGUCCGUUCACCUGUUGUCAAUGGCAACACUGGUUAUGGACAUGUUAAAGAUACACCUUUUGUCAAUGGAUACAAACAUAGUUCUCCCGAGCAUGGGCAUGGCAAUCCUGGUUAUGGACAUGUUGAUGAUAAGUGGUAUAGGUCUUCAAAUCCAGAUCCUGGCCGGGAUAAGUGGUAUAGGUCUUCAAGUCCAGAUGAUGGCCGCGAUAAGUGGAAUAGGUCUUCAAGUCCAGAUGAUGGCCGCGAUAAGUGGCAGAGGUCUUCAAGUCCAGAUCAUCAUGGCCGCCCUCAUAAGGUUAAGGAGUUUCUCACCAAGGUGCAAACUGAAGCUAGUUUACCGAAGAGGUUUGGUCUUUUGAGUCCUUCAGUUUGGCGCCGGUCUCCUGAUUCCACAGGCCAUCAUGGGCAUGGGCCUGGGAAUGGCAAUACCGGCUAUGGUGAUUACAGUGACAAGAGCAGCAAGGACGGGCACAAGCCGAGUGUUCGUAAUGGGGAUUAUGAUAACUACUACCACAACAAUGGUAGCAGGACGGAACCGACUGUGACCAAUUCUGGUGGAUGGACAAGGCCAACUCGUGCAGGAUGGGGUGUACCACCUGAUGCCUCACUUUCCAGUCCAACAAACGAUAUCAACACAGCUGUGAGGUACUUGCAGGAAGGUGCCAGACCUACUUCAGUCACCACUGCUCCGCAGUCUCGCGUCACUGUACCGAUCACAACAGGACCUAGACGAGAUGACUAUGGUCAAACUAUCGACAGCAGAGAGGCUGCAAGGCGGUAUGGCAACCUCGGUUCAUCGCCUGUGCCCGAAGAGAGGUACACAGGGACUAUUGACAGCAGGGAGGCUGCGAGAAAGUACAGGGGCACAACCGUGUGACAGCAACAAUUGUGCAUGGCAUAAUAGUAUUAAGCUCUGGCAUGUGAGUCCAUAUAGUGUUUCCUUGGAUGACCCUUUGUUACUGUCUGUCUGGGUGCGUUUUCUAUUUUGUUUUUCGCUUCCUUGUUGCUUUCUGGGACCAAUAGGUAAGUUGUCAUAAUCGCGUGUUUGUGAUAUCAGUAGUAAAAUAAGCUUUCAUUAUGAAGCACUUUGCAAUAAAUUGAUGGAGCAUAUUUUUUUUUUCAACAAUGAUACAAGUGAAUAACAAUUCAUUUACUUUUAACCUCUUCACUGAGUGAGUGGAGAUACAGUGCUUUAUUAAGGUCAUCUACAGCUAUAAUAACAGGUCCAAUUGCUUUUUAUAAAUGAAAUGCAAAGCAGAAAAUAUGGGUUAAUUGCACAAGAUUGAGACUUCAUUUACAUUAACUUAUGCAAUUAAAACACCAACAUAUCAGUGAGACUCUGGAAUGUAGGGUAACUGCUAAGCUACUUCUUCUUGCAUAUUAUGUGACAGAUGUCAUUUGGCAGAGUUUAGGAAAGAAUUUGAUAUUUUUAAUUGCGAUAGCAUAAUAACAGAAUGACAAAAACUACUCAAGUCAGAGUGAAAGCUAGUUUUUUUAAGUUCAAAAUUAAUUUUCGACAACAUCAUGGCCUUGCUUGUUGAACCUGCAUACAAUAUUCUGUAGAUACUCUCUGGAUGUUGUUAGAUUUAAAAAGACCUUAAAAUUGGCAGAGCUUUGAAAAACUUGGGUAUCAGAUUUGAUUAUGGUGACAAAAAUUAGAUAUUAAAAGCUAGCAACUAAUUUCUUUAUUUCGCUAAUUCCCUUGGGCGGCCACAGUGGCAUUUUAUUGGUGGGUUCGCGGAACUGUUCUUGGAAAAGACCAUCGCCGUGACACUAAAUGCUAGCUUGUUGACCAACUUGUUGACACUCUAGCUAUAUGUGUGUAAAUUAGUCAACGAGGUUCUUUUGUUCUUAACUUUUAAAAAAUAAAAGUGAAGUGAAGAAGAACAUAACAUGGGCCAUGGAAG
This 2199-nucleotide long non-coding RNA is filed under the name Citrus x clementina. RNAcentral's name for it is "Citrus clementina (C. clementina) long non-coding RNA (CCLE_LNC002933)". Lineage: Eukaryota; Viridiplantae; Streptophyta; Magnoliopsida; Sapindales; Rutaceae. The record is from RNAcentral.